RNAcentral lists this ribosomal RNA (491 nucleotides) under uncultured bacterium. RNAcentral describes it as "partial 16S ribosomal RNA". It matches the Rfam family "Bacterial small subunit ribosomal RNA", at positions 29 to 506 of the family's 1533-position model. The record is from RNAcentral.
AGUGAACGCUGGCGGUAGGCCUAACACAUGCAAGUCGAACGGCAGCACAGUAAGAGCUUGCUCUUACGGGUGGCGAGUGGCGGACGGGUGAGGAAUACAUCGGAAUCGACUUUUUCGUGGGGGAUAACGUAGGGAAACUUACGCUAAUACCGCAUACGACCUACGGGUGAAAGCAGGGGAUCUUCGGACCUUGCGCGAUUGAAUGAGCCGAUGUCGGAUUAGCUAGUUGGCGGGGUAAAGGCCCACCAAGGCGACGAUCCGUAGCUGGUCUGAGAGGAUGAUCAGCCACACUGGAACUGAGACACGGUCCAGACUCCUACGGGAGGCAGCAGUGGGGAAUAUUGGACAAUGGGCGCAAGCCUGAUCCAGCCAUACCGCGUGGGUGAAGAAGGCCUUCGGGUUGUAAAGCCCUUUUGUUGGGAACGAAAAGCAGCAGGUUAAUACCCCGCUGUUCUGACGGUACCCAAAGAAUAAGCACCGGCGAACUUCGU